RNAcentral lists this long non-coding RNA (1607 nucleotides) under Mytilus galloprovincialis (Mediterranean mussel). Lineage: Eukaryota; Metazoa; Mollusca; Bivalvia; Mytilida; Mytilidae. The record is from RNAcentral.
AUGUAAUUAUCACUUCGGUCUACAGGAAUACCUGAUAAUCAAGGGAGAUAACACACUUCAUACGAGUAAAGUGAGAUACAUCAUCGCAUGUGCUUUUAUCCAAUGAUUUGACCCCUGGUCAGUAGAUAUCAUAUGCAAAAAAACAGAAAAAAACAUGUACAUGUUUUAAGAAAAUCAUGAACUAAUAUUUUUAAUGCACUUGAGCAAAACAAUAGAUAUUGUCAUUUCUCAGUGAAAAAGGGGGAGGGUCAAACCUUUUUGAAAACAAUAUUUCUGCACCUAUUCAACUAUUAAGCUAGUUAGCUACUACCCAUUGCUUCUAAAAUAAAAGGUUUAAAUGAAGGUGACUAAGCCACAAGGGAGAAGCAUUUGUCUUUCUUUGUGAUUAAACUUUCAAGAAUUAGAUUUUUUCUCUCUCAAUAGUACUUAUGUAUUUAAAUCAAAUGAUAACACAGCCUGAGUAAUUUUUUUUGUCUUAUUUCAGUUCCAGACAUAUCAUUACUUUUUAACCUGAGAUGGCAAACUAGAGGUUUUAAAAAGUCCUGAAUAACUGGUAAGCAUUUUGCUUUAUUAGGCAAGCUCUAAAUUGUUUAUUUAUGGUAUUUAUGCAAUUGAAAUUACAGUCGGUAUGUUAAAAAUAUGCAAAUAUGAAAACUGUUGCUAUGGUCUUGGUAUUAAAUGAAAAGGCUUAGUUACAGAUCGUUUCGACUCAAUAUUUCGAGUUAAAUCUUGCGGCAACUGUUUCUCACGUAACACUGCAAACUAUAUUUAGCUCUAUUUUGAUCUGUCGUUAUUUAAUGACGCCAUAAUACAUGUGAUGUCACAAUGUUUCCUUUAAAACCUCAUGUGGAUUUCUCACUAAUAAAAGGUUUUCACUGAAAUACAUGUUAAAAACAUUUUUUCUCAAAUAGAAUUAUGUGAAAGGACAAGUUUUGAAAAUUUGCACUAUAUUGCACUCUAAUUAUAUGAUAAGGAUGACUUUCCAAGUAGUUAAGAGUGCUUUCCACAGUUUUAAAUACCAGAUUUCCACUAGUAAGAAUAAUUAUUUUUGGUGUUGGGUUUUUUAUAAAAUCUUCAUUUUUGCAUAAUUUCUCUGUCAAAAUGCACUUUAAGGCACAAGAAAAUUUUAUAGAAUGCUUUAACAGGGUCUGUGUAUUGUAAUUAAAGGUUAUAAUCAGAAGUUUUGUCCUUGUUUUGACUAGUGAAGGUAUUCUGGAAGAAAUUAAUUAUACAAACACAUUGUAUUCAAAAUAAAUGAAUAUAGCGACGAAAGUGUCAUUGCCUUAUAGUGCUAAAACAACUUUAUUUUUUUUUCAGAAAUGGACAAAAAUACACAGAUUUAUUCAGAAUGUUAUACCGAUGAAGAUCACAUAAAAAUAUUUGGAAAAAUCAGAAGUAUGAAUUUCAAUAUGGGUCAGGAUCCCUAAUAGACCUUGAGAUGAGGAACUCAGAUGACGUAAUUAAAAAAAAUAUUAGUCCGCCAUACAAUUGUGGAUGCUGUGAUUUUAAAAAUGGACAUAAAUGAACAAUAAGAACUGUUUUAUAGAGCUGGUGUGAUGAGAAAAGAAAGAUGUAGAUUUGACCUGAAAUAAAUUAUUAGAAAGGAC